RNAcentral lists this long non-coding RNA (572 nucleotides) under Equus asinus (donkey). RNAcentral describes it as "lncRNA (ENSEASG00005033008.1)". Lineage: Eukaryota; Metazoa; Chordata; Mammalia; Perissodactyla; Equidae. The record is from RNAcentral.
UAUGGAGAGAACUUCGUAUGUAAAAUGCAUUAUAAUGUAUGAAAUGCUAUAUAUUGCAUAUUAUGUGUUACAUGUUGCCUAUUAUAUAUGUUGUAUAUUAUAUGUUACAUAUAGAGAGAGAGAAAAAGAAGAGAGGAUGUAGGGCAAUUUCAUUUUCUGAUUCUAGGAAAAUAAUGAAACCCAAACCAUCAGGAACGGUAUCACUUGAGCAGAGCAUAGGUGCAAGUACCAUCCGUGUUAUAUGCAGAAACAUUCACCUUGACCCCAGGGGGGAUCUGGGCUGAGACUAGAUGACUGAAAUCUCUGGGCGAUGGUGAACACAGAAUUGGGGGCAGCAGAUAUGAAGACGCACUGAGCCACAUGCCGGACGCCCCAAGCGCAGAGAGAGCUUGUGAGCUUCUAGCGGUGGAGACUUGACACACUGUGGGAGAGGAAAAUGAAGUUACUGGACCCACUGAAACGGGACUCAUUGAUCCUCUAGCCCAUGGUGGGCAGUGUGCAUCAGCGGGGUCCUUCACAGUUUUAGAUGCUCCUUCUCUUCAAAUUUCGUGCUCAUCAAAGUACAUAUUUUU